UGCAGUCGAGCGGUAACAUUUCAAAAGCUUGCUUUUGAAGAUGACGAGCGGCGGACGGGUGAGUAAUGCCUGGGAAUUUGCCCAUUUGUGGGGGAUAACAGUUGGAAACGACUGCUAAUACCGCAUACGCCCUACGGGGGAAAGCAGGGGAACUUCGGUCCUUGCGCUGAUGGAUAAGCCCAGGUGGGAUUAGCUAGUAGGUGGGGUAAUGGCUCACCUAGGCAACGAUCCCUAGCUGGUCUGAGAGGAUGAUCAGCCACACUGGGACUGAGACACGGCCCAGACUCCUACGGGAGGCAGCAGUGGGGAAUAUUGCACAAUGGGGGAAACCCUGAUGCAGCCAUGCCGCGUGUGUGAAGAAGGCCUUCGGGUUGUAAAGCACUUUCAGCGAGGAGGAAAGGGUGUAAGUUAAUACCUUACAUCUGUGACGUUACUCGCAGAAGAAGCACCGGCUAACUCCGUGCCAGCAGCCGCGGUAAUACGGAGGGUGCGAGCGUUAAUCGGAAUUACUGGGCGUAAAGCGUGCGCAGGCGGUUUGUUAAGCGAGAUGUGAAAGCCCCGGGCUCAACCUGGGAACCGCAUUUCGAACUGGCAAACUAGAGUCCUGUAGA
RNAcentral lists this ribosomal RNA (611 nucleotides) under Gammaproteobacteria bacterium. RNAcentral's name for it is "bacterial SSU rRNA". It matches the Rfam family "Bacterial small subunit ribosomal RNA", at positions 56 to 655 of the family's 1533-position model. Lineage: Bacteria; Pseudomonadati; Pseudomonadota; Gammaproteobacteria. The record is from RNAcentral.